Molecule: unclassified non-coding RNA, 1858 nt
Filed under: Hevea brasiliensis (rubber tree)
Lineage: Eukaryota; Viridiplantae; Streptophyta; Magnoliopsida; Malpighiales; Euphorbiaceae
Source: RNAcentral
AAAAAAAUGUCACACGUUAACAAAAAUUUGUUGUGUCUAAAUUGGUAUUGUAAGAAUCAGGUCCCAGAAUACCAGAUAAUAAAUAUUCUACAAAACAACUUCAUCAAUAAAGAAAACUAAACUUCUUGAUUUAUUCAGUUGUAACCUACAAAACUUAACUCAAUGGAUACAUUCAUUCCCACAAGCUACGAUUUUGCUCACAGGCGAUGAUAAGCAAACAAUAGUAUCUCUUGCAAGGUUAACCCAAAUGCGUAUCUCCAAGAACCAAAGGCAAAAGUUCACCCUAUUCUCAGCUUUUGUAAUAUGAACAUAAUUUAGCCCAUCUGGACUGGAUCCAGGAGUCCAGGAGGCUGGACAGAAUUUAACACAAAAAAGUACAUCACCCUGCACAUCUUGCCGAAUUUUAUUUCAAUUUCUGCAAGCAUUCAGCAUUCUCGCAGUUACUGUCCAUCACCCAACGUACCAAGUUUUCUGCAUAGCAUAAUACAAUACUUAAAUAUCAAGCCAACUGACACAGACAGAGAGAGAGAGAGAGAAAUAACUAACCUUUCUUAUUUCAAAUACAAUUAUGUAAUAAUUUUAUGUAGUCUGAGGGGGAAAAAGGUAGAGAUUUUAGGAAUAUCCUAGCUAGGAAAAGAAGUAAAUAUAUAUAUUCUGGAGCAUACCGAGAGAGAGAGUUAGGAUGCUCAAUACACAUACAUUUCAUCCACCACAUUACAUUUUUCCUUGUCAGGAAUAAGCGGAUGUCCUUGAACAUUAUUUGUAACAUUGGGGAAUUAAGAAUUACACAAACAAGAUCAUUGAGAUUUAAGUGGUAAAAGCAAUUUUUUAAUAGGGAUACAUAAGAUUCCAGCUUUCAAUUUGAAAAACAUGCUGAUUCAUCUGUACUUCUAACACAUCAUAUAACAGCAAAAAUGCAUAAAUUAGCUUUGGAAUACCCAAUGCAACAUUUUCCUACCUUACCACAAAAAGACCCCCAGCCCCAGCCCCUUUCCCUAGUUAAAUUGCCUCAGAUGAAUGCAUCAGUGCCAAGAAACAUAGAUGUCAGCCAACAACAUUUCUAUACCAGGAACUGACGUUUAUGUUUAGAAUAAGGGCAUCAGCCUCCUUACUUCAGUUUAUGUACCAAGCCCUGUUUGAGAGCUUAAACUCCAUUUAAUAGGAAAACCAGAAAGGGUAAGAACUAAGAAGAUGUGAAACAGUGGAGUAUGAUUUGCUAUUUUGCUUUGGUACAGAUAAUGGAAUGGGAAAAAGGCGUUCAAGAGGAAAGGUAUAAUCUGCCUUCCUGUGGAUUUACCAAGAAAGAAAAUCUUUCUGUAUAAGAAAAUCUUUCUGUAUGCAAUUUCUCCGCUAAUUUUCGAGCAAAUGGGAAAGUGAGCUCCUACAUAUGAGAGUAUGAGUCAACUUAUAUGCCUGUUAAUUCCCCUAAUAUUAUAUGCAAAGCCAGUUUGACCAUCUGAUAUAAUUUAGGGAACAAUAUCAGUAGCAGCUGAAACUUGUACUUGAAGGAGUGAAUUUUAUUAUGCAUCACCACCAGAAAAUUUGGCAAACACAUGCAGACCAAAAAUAUUCAAUAUAAUAUAGAAGGUAAGUAGUUUGAAUAAAGUUAAUAUAAAACAAAAUGGAGAAGAAGAAAGGAGUGAAUACACAUUAGAAAAUAUGUGAGUUCACUCGAAGAAGAAGGUGGAAAACCAAAGAGGUUUCAAGGUUACAAGGCUCAAUAAAAAAUCUUUAUUUGCAUGUAAAACAAAAAAUGAUUUAUGGAUGACAGCACCUCUUUUAGGAUUAAAGAAACAGAUUUUGAUAACAAAGAAGAAAGAGAGUGAAGGAUGAGGUAUCCUUUUCUCAAGGAAAUAAA